GAUGAACGCUGGCGGCGUGCCUAAUACAUGCAAGUCGAGCGAACGGACGAGAAGCUUGCUUCUCUGAUGUUAGCGGCGGACGGGUGAGUAACACGUGGAUAACCUACCUAUAAGACUGGGAUAACUUCGGGAAACCGUAGCUAAUACCGGAUAAUAUUUUGAACCGCAUGGUUCAAAAGUGAAAGACGGUCUUGCUGUCACUUAUGGAUGGAUCCGCGCUGCAUUAGCUAGUUGGUAAGGUAACGGCUUACCAAGGCAACGAUGCAUAGCCGACCUGAGAGGGUGAUCGGCCACACUGGAACUGAGACACGGUCCAGACUCCUACGGGAGGCGGCAGUAGGGAAUCUUCCGCAAUGGGCGAAAGCCUGACGGAGCAACGCCGCGUGAGUGAUGAAGGUCUUCGGAUCGUAAAACUCUGUUAUUAGGGAAGAACAUAUGUGUAAGUAACUGUGCACAUCUUGACGGUACCUAAUCAGAAAGCCACGGCCAACUACGUG
RNAcentral lists this ribosomal RNA (497 nucleotides) under uncultured bacterium. RNAcentral's name for it is "partial 16S ribosomal RNA". It matches the Rfam family "Bacterial small subunit ribosomal RNA", at positions 28 to 507 of the family's 1533-position model. The record is from RNAcentral.